GACGAACGCUGGCGGCGUGCUUAACACAUGCAAGUCGAACGAAGAGCGAUGGAAGCUUGCUUCUAUCAAUCUUAGUGGCGAACGGGUGAGUAACGCGUAAUCAACCUGCCCUUCAGAGGGGGACAACAGUUGGAAACGACUGCUAAUACCGCAUACGAUCUAAUCUCGGCAUCGAGGAUAGAUGAAAGGUGGCCUCUACAUGUAAGCUAUCACUGAAGGAGGGGAUUGCGUCUGAUUAGCUAGUUGGAGGGGUAACGGCCCACCAAGGCGAUGAUCAGUAGCGGGUCUGAGAGGAUGAGCGGCCACAUUGGGACUGGGACACGGCCCAGACUCCUACGGGAGGCAGCAGUGGGGAAUCUUCCGCAAUGGACGAAAGUCUGACGGAGCAACGCCGCGUGAGUGAUGACGGCCUUCGGGUUGUAAAGCUCUGUUAAUCGGGACGAAAGGCCUUCUUGCGAAUAGUGAGAAGGAUUGACGGUACCGGAAUAGAAAGCCACGGCUAACUACGUG
This 510-nucleotide ribosomal RNA is filed under the name uncultured bacterium. RNAcentral's name for it is "partial 16S ribosomal RNA". It matches the Rfam family "Bacterial small subunit ribosomal RNA", at positions 28 to 507 of the family's 1533-position model. The record is from RNAcentral.